This 465-nucleotide ribosomal RNA is filed under the name Vreelandella stevensii. Its description in RNAcentral is "partial 16S ribosomal RNA". It matches the Rfam family "Bacterial small subunit ribosomal RNA", at positions 338 to 795 of the family's 1533-position model. The record is from RNAcentral. Lineage: Bacteria; Pseudomonadati; Pseudomonadota; Gammaproteobacteria; Oceanospirillales; Halomonadaceae.
CCUACGGGCGGCAGCAGUGGGGAAUAUUGGACAAUGGGGGGAACCCUGAUCCAGCCAUGCCGCGUGUGUGAAGAAGGCCCUCGGGUUGUAGAGCACUUUCAGUGAGGAAGAACGCCUGGUGGUUAAUACCCAUCAGGAAAGACAUCACUCACAGAAGAAGCACCGGCUAACUCCGUGCCAGCAGCCGCGGUAAUACGGAGGGUGCGAGCGUUAAUCGGAAUUACUGGGCGUAAAGCGCGCGUAGGUGGCUUGAUAAGCCGGUUGUGAAAGCCCCGGGCUCAACCUGGGAACGGCAUCCGGAACUGUCAAGCUAGAGUGCAGGAGAGGAAGGUAGAAUUCCCGGUGUAGCGGUGAAAUGCGUAGAGAUCGGGAGGAAUACCAGUGGCGAAGGCGGCCUUCUGGACUGACACUGACACUGAGGUGCGAAAGCGUGGGUAGCAAACAGGAUUAGAUACCCCGGUAGUC